AAACGUUUGAUGUAAGGAACAUAUUAAAUUUUGAGUUUAAAUAUAAAAAAUAAUUUAACGUUUC
RNAcentral lists this transfer RNA (64 nucleotides) under Neoseiulus womersleyi. Its description in RNAcentral is "tRNA-Gln". Lineage: Eukaryota; Metazoa; Arthropoda; Arachnida; Mesostigmata; Phytoseiidae. The record is from RNAcentral.